Rhineura floridana is the source of this 343-nucleotide long non-coding RNA. RefSeq lists it as uncharacterized. The record is from RefSeq and is a predicted model, not a curated record. The transcript has 3 exons. NCBI's taxonomy places the organism in Eukaryota, Metazoa, Chordata, Lepidosauria, Squamata, Rhineuridae.
GCUGCUUCCAACGGAACAUAAAUAAAACAACAGAAGUAACCGUCAAAAAAUCAACCCUAAAGAGUAUCAAUAAACACAAUAGAAUCAAUGGCAGCAGUAAUAUAGGGCUACAGUGCCCACUCAGAAGCCGCAGAAGAGACCUCCAUCCAGAAUCUUUGAAUACGUUCACAUUCUCACCACAUAUGAACAUAAGAUCCUCGUACUCCACAUCCUCUCCAGCACAAUGGUAAAAGUCUGGAUGUCCACAAAUUGGUAUCAGUGGGGAUAUCCCUGGCAUCAAAGAUUCCUUUCUAUAUUUCCAGACCUUUAAUAUAGAGAUAAUGCUUGUAUAUUUUUGUUGUAU